Non-coding RNA from Odocoileus virginianus texanus, 693 nucleotides. Lineage: Eukaryota; Metazoa; Chordata; Mammalia; Artiodactyla; Cervidae. The record is from RefSeq and is a predicted model, not a curated record.
UUGGGGAAAUUUAUGUGCACGCAAGAGUAAUUCCCAGCGAGGGCCCUCUGAAAAUCCUGGGCCCGCCCCCCGCUCUCAGCGGCCUCAUCUGUAGUGUUGCGUUAGCCUCUGCCGGGCAGCGGCGUGAAUCCGCCGUAAUGUAUGCAUGGACCCGCUCCCUCCUGAGUCUCCCUCCCAGCCCACCGUCCGCUCCUGGGUCAUCACAGAGCAUCGGGCUGAGCUCCCCGCGUUGCAGAGCAGCUUCCGGCUGGCCGUCUGUUUCACACGUGCUACUGUGUUAUAGUAUCACGGUCCGGCUGGUGACGUCUGCAGAGCUGGAAGGAGCCUUGACCUUCGGUAAACGGCGCCCCCUCGCCCAGAUUGAAAUGCCCGGGGCCAGCCUGUGUGCAGGGCUACGUGCGCCACUUCCUCACGUAGCCUGGGAGGAACAGAGCGAAAUGGGAGCCGGCUUUGUGGCAGGUAGUCAAGUAAUUGUGAAACUGGUCAUGAACUGAUAGGAGAAGGUGAAGGAGCUAAUGAAGAGGCAGAAUGAGCUCGGGAGAUCUUUUCCCAGCACUCAGAAGAGGAUCCACCCAAAAGUACAUCUGUGACCAUUCCCUUGUUUUGCAGACCACGGACUUGGGUGGUGGAGCGCAUUUUUCAUUUCAUAAUAAUAAUAAUUAAUAAUAAUAUAUGUGUGUGUAUGUUUGUGAA